UACGUAGGUGGCGAGCGUUGUCCGGAUUUACUGGGCGUAAAGAGCGCGCAGGCGGUCGGGCAAGUCGGAUGUGAAAGCCCCCGGCUCAACUGGGGAGGGUCAUUCGAUACUGCUCGACUUGAAGGCGGGAGAGGGAAGCGGAAUUCCCGGUGUAGUGGUGAAAUGCGUAGAUAUCGGGAGGAACACCAGUGGCGAAGGCGGCUUCCUGGCCCGUUCUUGACGCUGAGGCGCGAAAGCUAGGGGAGCAAACGGG
RNAcentral lists this ribosomal RNA (253 nucleotides) under uncultured bacterium. RNAcentral describes it as "partial 16S ribosomal RNA". It matches the Rfam family "Bacterial small subunit ribosomal RNA", at positions 524 to 776 of the family's 1533-position model. The record is from RNAcentral.